This 91-nucleotide non-coding RNA is filed under the name Trichoderma gamsii. Lineage: Eukaryota; Fungi; Ascomycota; Sordariomycetes; Hypocreales; Hypocreaceae. The record is from Rfam by way of RNAcentral.
GGGGGGCUCGAGGAGAACAGAAAUCUCCAGUAGAACAAAAGGGUAAAAGUCCCCUUGAUUUUGACCUUUAGUGUAUCGACAACCACCGUGU